GGGGGGGAGCGAUGGGUUUGAAGUGUCCCAUGUGCUGAGUUGAAUCUCACAUUUCUAGCUUUUUUGGCUAGCCAGGAAUUGGUUUUAAAAAAGAAGCCUCUCCCAUAAACAGAUGCAGCCUGGUAAACUUGCACUUGGCUGGCUGCAUGCUCGCAGCGGAGGCCUUGUAUUAUCCCUGUGCAUCCCAGUUGCCGAGAACACGGCUCUUCUUCCCUUGGCAAAGAUGAUUCUUUUGUUUUGCCUUUGUGGCUGUUUAUUCCCUUACCAGCAGCUCUUUCCAGCUCUCUCUUAACAUACACCUGUCCCCUAUUCUGCUGGAGAGGAUUUGGCAGAAUGCAACCCUUUUUUCUCACGUAGUUUGGAUCUGUAAUAAAGAUGUCUGUUUUGGCAGCUCGUGGAGCUUCUCUGACAAAUACUGUUACUAAUUAUUACUGUUUUUAUGGAGUUUAUUUAUAGUUUCCGUUCAGUGUUUUGAAACAGGGCUAGGCAGACUUCAGCCUGGUUGAAUCUCCUCUCUGUGUGUGUUGUGGUUUUUUUGCUAGAACCCCAAUAAUUGGUACUAGUAGCUGGAGUCAGGUGCAAGAGUCAAUUAGAAUUGAAGAAUAGACUGCCUCUGGUGUAUUAUGAGCUUAGGAAUUUGUUUUCAAUACCAGAAGUCAACUGAGCCUACAGUUCCUUCUCACGAAAGUCUGCUUUCUUUAUUUCAACAGCCUAAUUUGUUUUGUUUUCUUGAACAGUUGGUGCCAAAAUCACCUAGAGACCAACCUUCUCUCUCUCUCUCUCUCCCCCCACCCCCAUUUUAAAGCUAUUUACACAAAUUAUCUAGGACCCCAUAAAUGUUCUGGAGGAACUUGAGAGCUGAAUAAGGUAUUCCCAUAUUGUUGAUGAGGGAUGUAGGCUGAGAGAGUGCUUGCUUAAGACUCUCUGGUGAGUUUGUAGCUCUGGACAAUUUCCAGCUCAUUUUCUUGGCCAUUACGCAAGAGUCCGAACAUAAUCAUCUUGCCUUGGGAUUGGCAACCCCUUAACUGGAAAAGGAAAGAAACUCUGAACUAUUUAUAUCCCACCUUUCUUCCAAGGAGCCCGAGGUGGCGUACCUGGUACUCCGCCUCUCCACAUCAUCUUCACAACGGUCCUGUGAGGUAGGUUAGCUCGAGAAACUGACUGGCCUGAGAUCACCCAACAAGUUUCAUGACUUGAGUUGGGAUUCACCCACUGGUGAACACUUGGUGCUAAACCACACUGAGUCUCUUGAGUGUAAGUCAAGAGGAAUUGACUAUUGAUGGCCCGCAAACUGGCCCACAGUAUUUCUGGAGGAACUUGUGGUGAUGUUUCCUACCUGGCAGAUGACCCACUUGUGGGGGGAGGCUUCUGAGAUAUGACCCUGCACUUCCAGUCUUCUGUAGAGGGCAUGCCAUCCCUCCUUGCCCUUUCUUGGCCCCUUGGUUCCUGGGACAAACCUCUCAACUUCUGGUAGAAGUGUUUUGUUGGUUCUCGUUCUACUGUUGGGAACAAUCCUCCAUAUUGGAAAUCACUGACUAUCAUUGUCCUGUUCAUAAAGUAUAUCUGAGUAGUAAUGUGCUUGUUCCUGCAUAAAACCCCUACAGGAGUAGUAAUUAACGCUUCUAGUUUUUGUUGUUAUGAGAACAGUUACACAGAUCUGUGGGCAAGGGGAUACAAUGAGAAACAGCUAAAUCUGCUGGAAUUCGUUGUGAUGUUGAAGGGGCAGUUGAAGUUUGCAACACAGAGUUGAGUGGUUGUGAAAACACCUUGGCUAGGCAGACACUGGUGGUGUAAGUGAGUCUUUAAUGAUAUCUCUGGCAGAAUGACUGGUAGUCCAUUCAUGUGCCUCUCUUUAUUUUUAUUUUUGGAUGCACUUACCGCUUCGACUUGCAUCUGAAAGAGCAAUAGGUGUUUUAUGACAUCAUGGGUUUCCACAGAGACCGAAAGAGAGGGGUGAUUUCCUACACUGCCUAUCUCAGAAUAGCUUUGGGUUUUUCUCUUUUAUAAGGGAAUCUCUCUUACACAAUCCCACAUGCCUAGAUUGAUGUAGCCAGCCACACUUUGUGAACUCCUUGCCUCUUUCUGGAAGAGCUCACUGUAGGAUGAAUUAAGAAAAGAGGGACUGGAGCAAUAAGGCUGCUGUAAGACACGAGUGUGGAUAUGUUAUCCUUUGUGGAUAUUUUUACACUCACAUCUUUUGUUCUGGCAUACACCACGUCACAGACACCUGCAUCUUGUUGUUGCAGUUCUAUGCACCAUCCUGUACAUUUACAUGCUGGAGCAGCAAGCACUGGGGUUGUGCCACAUGGCUUCAAAGGAGCCGACAGAACGGUUAAUGCCUAUAAAGAAAGAGGCACUGAAGAGGUGGAGGCCAUAGUUGCUACAUUGUCAUGACCCCAGUACCAGCAAUGACCUGGACACAGAGUUAGAGGCUGCAGGGGCACCAGAAUAGGAGCUGGGUCUGGGCUUAGAUCUGACUGCAGAAGAUAGGAAGACCACUGCACUUGAGAGAGAACUCUCAGACUACCAGGCCUAUGGAACCAAAAGUCUGGACCUUCAUGGACACCUUCUUCUGAGUCUGAAGAACCAGAUGCCUCCCACCACACACCACCAGUCUUGGGAGUACUAGGACUUCACCAGGAGGAAGGAAGCAGGAGCACCCAACAUCUUUAGACCUGAAGGUUGGCCCUUUAAGGCUCUGAAGUUCUCUGAAGGGGGUUAAACCUAGAGGAGGUAUUCUGGAGCCAGGACCCCAAAAGGCCUCAGUGUGCUCCCAACUUUUGUUGGAGCACCUUGCUUGCUUGGAGCUGUCCAUGGUCUAGCCUUGCCUCUUGUCAUGCUGUUUUCCUCGUGGGUCCAGACAUUGGACCAGAACACAGCACACACUAUUUGAAUGCAGAAGGUCCCCAGGCCUAUCUUUGGCAUCUCCCUUCAGAAAAAAAGAGGGGGAAAGCCCAAAGGUCUCAGCAGGCCUGGAAAAGAUACCUGCCAGAGCCCUUGGAGAGUGGCUUCCAGUCAGAGUAGCCUGCUAUUAAGCUAGAUGGGGUGGUCAGAAUUUAAGGUAGACAAUGAUCUACUGGUAGGUUAUUGGCCAAUUUCUAGUAGACCUUCCUGGUGGUGUUGGUUGCGGGGAUCCUUCCAAGAAUAUUGGACCUUGGGUGGAUUCUGAUAGGCAUAUCUCUCUUCUGCUUUCUGGGUGUUUAUGAAAGUUGGCUGUUUCUGGGUCAAAGAUCUGAAACUCGCAGAAUGUGUUUCACUGUGAUUGCUUAUCUACCCAGAGCUCUGUCGCAGCUUUCAAGUCAAUGAAUGCAUCUCUGAUUCUUAGUAAUCAAGCAACAGGAUCACCAGUUUUGGCAGUAGCCUGGCAUUUGGGAGGAACAGCUACUACUAAUAGCUGGUUAAGGGGGAUCAGAUCACUUUCCUAUCUAAUCCAGAUAGCUUUAUCUGAGGGCAUUGACUCUGUUAAUUAUAACGAAACAUGCCCAACGGAAGUUGCUGCUAAGCAUCUUAAACUGUCAGAUGAGUACUUGGGCUUCUGUUGAAAUCCCAUUUUAGCCUACUGCUGCAAAUGCCAGCCCCUUCAAACCAGGCAGUGUUGGUGAAACAUACAGAGGCCCUUACCCUGUUAAGACACCAUGUUGAACUUAACUACUAAAGAAAUGUACUGUAUGGGGAGGCAUUUUGUUGUUGCCUGUGGGUAACAUGCCAAUCCAUCUUGCAAACGAUGCCCCCAUUUUAUUGGGUUGUCAUUUCCAUAAAGAGGUUCCACCAGAAGAAUUCCCAGUAAAAACUCCUUGCAGGAAAGAGGGUGAGGGGAAUCUUCUUAACACAGCAGUUCCAAGGGGUUAUAUGGAUAUGGUUAUAUGGAUGAUAUUGCUAAAGAGCAUCUCUACAAGGUGUCCACCUCUACAAAAUACUACCUACCAGUAGAUGCUUCUGCAUGUCUCUUCUAGAUGUAUCUCCCACUUCUAGAUGCUUGGAGCAGACGAAGGAGACCUGUUGGUAUUAUGAGCAUCCAAAAAUCAUCUUCGUGGCUACUGCAGCGCUGAGCUAGAGAAACCUUGCUUUGAUCCAGCAAGUCAAUUCAUUACAUAGAUUUAAUCCAUUUUGAUGGAGUCCUAAGUAAGGAAGGUGACACAUCCCUCCUGUGAAAAGCAAAGGUAGUCCCUGUUGGCUUGUGAGUGAAAUCUCAAAAUCCACACUUAUUGGGCCUAUCAGAAGGUUGCAGAAUUCGUGUGUAAGCUCAGGUUAUCCAAAGCUGUUCAUCAGCAAAGAUGAUAAACAAGACAAAAGGGGUGAGAGGAGGGAGAAAAGAUGGGAAGCAUUCUUUUGGAAUAUCAUUUCUGUUGUAAUGAGAUGGCAGAAACAUAUGUGAAUUGACUGCACCAGGUGCCAUUGUGCCAUCUUAGUUUUGCUCCAGGUCUUUUAAAAAUCUGUCAGAGGACUUAAUUUCCUUAUUGUUUUCAUGGGCACAGAACUUUUAAAGUUCCAGUUGCGCUAGAAAGUCAUGCUGUCUCCUUCUCUGUAAAGUUCUGUGCCCUUAUGCCAAAUGGCAGGCUGAGAUCCCUUGAAAAUCCCAGAGAGAAGCCUGAACAGUUCAUUAUUACAGACAUCUUUUCUCUCUCUCUUUUGGAGCAAUGUAUGUUGUUGUUUAUACCGAAGCAAGCUGAAAAGCAAGGCUGCUCGCUUGUUUGUGGUUUUGGCUUUUGCAUACUAGCUCCAAGCGGAAUUGCAAUAUCCUGUCCUGUUUGUGGGAUCAAAGAGCAUGGCUCUUAUUCCAGAUUAAAUUGCGUCAGAAUAAACGCUGCUCUUCGGUUGUAUUUUCGCCAGCCCUCGACACAACCAGAAUUGCUGUUUUAUUUUCAAGGGCUUAAACUGGAUAGGUUAACCCAAACACACUAACUUUGUAUCCCUGCAGAUUGAGUAAAUUUACUUUUUAAUGGGGUUUUUUACCACUUUGGCUUUACCCGAAAUUUAACCUAUACUGCCCACUCUCCUAGUCAUUAAUUUUGGCAUUGCAUUAGAAUUGCUUCUCAGCCCUUUAAAUACUAAAAUCCAUUCUUUUUGUGUGGUUGGGCAAACCUGUCCAUCUGUCUUCAGGGGUUACUAAUCCACAUUAAGGAUACAUACUUGAGAUGGCUUAAUGGAGAUUAUUUUCCCUUUUAGUUACGCCUUUGUACUUGCAACUCUGUUCUUAGAAAUGAAGAGAGGGAGCAGCAGAGAAAUGUAGCGCUACAGAAAAUGUCGUACAAAGGUCUUCUUAUCCUCCUUCACCAUCCACAAUAACAUUAGCUAUGACCUCGAGGAGCUUUACUCGCUUUUAUAAAAAGAGAGAAAUGUUCUAUGAGGCGUUCCUUCUGUGCCAUUUUAAUCCUCGGCUAAUUAAUCGGCAUAAUCGUGCCCGAGGGAUGCAGGGUAGUAUGCCAUCUCCGAAUUAACGCUCCUAAAUAUCUGGUUGUGUGAGAAGUCAUAACAGGGAAUGGGGAGGAGCACGGGAACUCUUAAAAACUGAUUUGAAUAGUGACAAGGGACCCAAAAACAGAGAUCCUUAUCAUUGUUGCCAACGGCGCAGGGGAUGUAGGGCGGGCGAAGCCAACUAAACAGUGGUAGGUGCCAGACAGACAUCGAAUCCUCCUUUCUCUUAGCCUCGCGGGGGAAUUCAGAAGGGGAAAUAAAUGGAACUUGUGUAUGCCAAAGCUGUGAGAUUAUUUCACUUUGGGCGGGUGUGUCUAUUCCAGCUGAGGUUUUGCAGCCAGCCUGCAUCUGACCGAUGCGAAAUCUUGAAGCUAAAAUCCCUAGCUGGAAAACAUUGGUCACCUGAGAGCACAGAAGGCAAAUGGUUCUGUUGGAUUUUGCAAUAAUAGAUCAUUUGCCCUGCCAACUGUUUCUGGAUGGUUUUUGGAAGGGGUUUUCGCAGCUGCACUUUGAAGAUCCUUGGGUCCCUGAAAGACAGCAACCUGAUGCUAUCGAGUUUUUGAUAAAUUUGAUAUCUUGUGAAUAAUAUGCACACAGAGUUUGCCAAUGCAAGUUUCCACAUGUAAAUGCAGAGUCGAACAAGGUGUGAAAAUAUUCCACCACAAAUUCCUCUCAGUUCUUCUCUUUUUUUUGGGGGGGGGAGUACUGGGUUUUCUUGGGGUGGGGAGCAGGAAUUGUGUGUCAGGUACAGUUUGGGAAGCCUGGGCACAUGUCAAGUCACUCUGCCCCAAUUUUCUGUCUGUAAAAUGGGGAUGUCAUGCUGUCACAGUGCAGUUGCAAGACUGGAAAACAUUUUGGCAAUUAGAGCUGCUAUUUGAGUGGUAAUUAACACCACCAUCUAGCUAGUCACACCAAAGGGCAUUAGCAUAUUCAUAGUCCUCAUUAGGUGACGGGCUCAGAAUAAAUAGGCUUUCUAGAUAUCUUUUUUCACGAAGCAAAGGAAGAUAAAACACUUGAAAUAAGUGACACUAGCUCUGUUGAAUACAAAUGCACAAAGUGCUUAAGACUAACCUUGUACAUUUGUAUGUCAGAUCUGUUUCCCUGUCUGUAUCUAGUCUGAAAGUCUAGGUUUUGUAAUUUUAGAGAAGAACUAUCAUUUUACUUCUCUGGAGUGUGAUGGCAAUACAUUUACAGCAUCACACCUCUUUACUCCAUAGUGAGUAGCUCAGGAAAACUACCAUCCCUGAGAUGGUAUCCCACCCACUUCUUGUGAAUGAAAAAUAAGAAAAUAAAAGUAAAACCCUCCCGUACCCCCAUAAGUGUGUUUUGAUAGUGCAGGGAUAUCUACUCUGAUUGUGGGUUUGUCCUCUUUCAUUUAUAUUCAUUUAUUCUUCUUGUCACUGAGAUGCGGGUGGCGCUGUGGGUUAAACCACAGAGCCUAGGAGUUGCCGAUCAGAAGGUUGGUGGUUUGAAUCCCUGUGACGGGGUGAGCUCCCGUUGCUCGGUCCUUGCUCCUGCCCACCUAGCAGUUCGAAAGCACGCCAAAGUGCAAGUAGAUAAAUAGGUACCACUCAGGCAGGAAGGUAAACGGUGUUUCCAUGUGCUGCUCUGGUUCUCCAGAAGCAGCUUAGUCAUGCUGGCCACAUGACCCAGAAGCUGUACGCCGGCUCCCUUGGCCAAUAAAGCGAGAUGAGCGCCGCAACCCCAGAGUCGGUCACGACUGGACCUAAUGGUCAGAGGUCCCUUUACCUUUACCUUUAUUCUUCUUGUCAUUCUUCCUGCAGUUAGGAGCCCAGGGCAGUUAGCAACACCCUUGCAAAUAAAAUCAACAUGAAACAAAAGCACCUUAAAACCCACAUUGCAGUAGAAUGCAGCAUUGCAGGCAGCGAUCACUGGGCUCCACUCUGGAUAUGAACCAACCAAACAAGCAGUAGUCACCUGAACACAGUUUGUGGGGCAAGGUGAUCUCCACCAGAAGGAACUUUCACAGCCAGGGUGCUGCCACCGAGAAGGCCCUGCUUUGCAUCACUGCCCUAUGGAACAUGUUCUUCUGGGGAACCAGGAGAAGCUCCUUCCCCACUGAGAUCAAGAUGUGGGGGAAGACAUCCUUCUAAGUGUUUGGGUUCCAUCCUGCUCAGUGGUGCACUCAUGCUAACACUUCAGAUUUGGUCCCAGUAGCUUAUGGGCAGUCACUGCAACUCAUGAUUCCUAAAUAUAUAUAUGCAGCCGGUGGCAUGAAAGCCAUUUUUUUCAUAGAUUGAUCCCAUGACCAUCUAGGCCAGAGGAUGUUUUAGGCUGUCUCUGCCAACACCUGGGGCUGAGAAAUGGCCCCUCCUCCACCCUCUGGCAUUUUAAAGGACUCAGCCAGAAGCUCUCUCUUUUCCCCUCAGUUAGUAAUGAAUUAUGAAUUGUUUCGAUGCCUUUAAAAAAAGAGAGUUUAUGCCUCUUUUAAAAAACCAUUCUGAAAGGUCUUUUGUAGGGAGAGACUACAAUCAACAGAUUGGAUGUGUUUAUAUUAUUACUCGAUGUUAUCUCGUGAACCGCUUUGAGCAUAGUGCCCACAGGAAAGCGGUGGCGCUCCCUCUGACAGUGGACUCAGAUGUUGGUGCCAACAAGAUGGUAGCCAAAUUGGAGCCAAUGUGAAGCGACUGGGAAGUAUCAGCAUGCUCAAGAAAUCUUGGAGGUUUACAGAAGCACAGAAAAAACCACACCCAAAGAGGCAAAAACAAAACUUUUUUUUUUAAAAAAAAACAGUCUAAUGAACCUGAUCCUCCCUUAGAAUGUAGAGUGUCAAUUGGAGACGAAAAAUGGAGCUUGAUAUGCAGAACAGAAGAGAAAGAAAGGAUCUUGUUGGAGGUCAUGGUCAGCAAGAAUACCCUUAAUGCCUUUCAAGGGAGGGAGGAUAUACUGUAGUGGUUUUUUUGUUGCAAGUCAUAUUUGUGCAAAAUACAGUGGCUGUGUUUCUGAAAGUACGCAUGAACAUUGCAACCACAGGUAAAAAAGAUAAAGGACCCCUGGAUUGUUAAAUCCAGUCAAAGGUGACUAUGGGGUUGCGGCGCUCAUCUUGCUUUACAGGCCAAGGGAGCCGGCGUUUGUCCACAGACAGCUUUCCGGGUCAUGUAGCCAGCAUGACUAAACUGCUUCUGGCGCAGUGGGAUACUGUGACGGAAACCAUAGCGCACGGUGAUGCCGUUAACCUCCCCGUCGCAGCGGGACCUAUUUAUCCACUUGCGCUGGUGUGCUAGGUUGGCAGGAUCUGGGACAGAGCAACGGGAGCUCACCCUGUCGCGGGGAUUCGAACCGCCGACCUUCUGAUUGGCAAGGCGAAGAGACUCAGUGAUUUAGACCACAACACUGCAUGAAGGGAGUAUGUCAGUUGAACGGGAAAGACCCAUGUGGCCAACAUGGUUGUGAUAUUGUAUCAUACUCUCCAAGGGCUAUGAGGUCAGGUGGCGGGGGCAGUGGGGCACCCAUAGAAGGUGGGAGCUCCACUUGGGCUUCCACCAAAUGAGGCGGCUUUCUCACCUUGCUUCAUGGGCAGACCAGCCCUGAGGAAGGAGCUCUUAAAUUAUUAUUAUUAUUGUUCAGGGAAGUUUUAAUAUGCCUAGAGUGGCUGGGGAAACCCAGCCAGAUGGGUGGGGUACGAAUAAAUUAUUAUUAUUAUUAAUAAUAAUAUUAUUAAUUUAUUAUGCCAUGAGCUGUAGGGCAGAGACCUCUCUCUCUCUCUCUCUCUCUCUCUCUCAACUUCUCACCCCAUCUAGGUUGGAAAGUAGACAUUCUCUGAGUCAGCUUUAAUCAAGUUUCUUUUAAAAGACCCCAAAAAAACCGUGGCUGUUCCCAUGAAGUUGUACCUAGCAGCUCAUAUUUUUGGCAUUUCCUCUUCAUGUUCUUUUUUUAAGAGUGGGGAGGGAUCUGAGCCUGGCUUUUGUUAUGGGAAGAGAUGCAGAGUGACUCUUCGAAACUUUAGUCGGAUUAUGACACAGACUUCCUGCUUGCUGAGUAAUCAGUCUGUACGUUGGCUUGUGGUAGAUUUUGUCUUUGGGCAAGAGAGAGAGAGAGGGAGAGGAGGGGAGUGGCUGGCCCUGGUGUGGAAGGAGAGGGAGCAAGAGAAGGGAAACUGUUCGUUUGGAUUAGGGCAAGAUGGCUGGGAAGUGCUGCAAAGUACGUUGGAUCUUCAGGAAUUACUGGGGUCGGGAGGGGGGAGAGUUGUUUAUAAUAAUGGGGGAAAUUGUUUGACAAGAGCCUACUUUGUGUUGUAGGUUAUGGCGUCUGGCUGCGUGCCAUUUCAUCCGCUUUGCUGCGAUUGUGUGCCUUGAAAAACGAGGAGGGGGGGGGC
Podarcis lilfordi (Lilford's wall lizard) is the source of this 9751-nucleotide non-coding RNA. Lineage: Eukaryota; Metazoa; Chordata; Lepidosauria; Squamata; Lacertidae. The record is from the annotation of a GenBank genome assembly.